RNAcentral lists this long non-coding RNA (369 nucleotides) under Mytilus galloprovincialis (Mediterranean mussel). Lineage: Eukaryota; Metazoa; Mollusca; Bivalvia; Mytilida; Mytilidae. The record is from RNAcentral.
GGGUCCGAUAACUUAUUACACACCAUUUCAUUUUGGUUCUUCUCUUUCCAUUAUAAGGCCACGGUGUCACGUUUACUAAUUCAAUCUUUUCAAUAAUUAUUUCCAUUUUGUAUUUCGAAUGGACAUAGACGGUAUUUAAAGAUCUUUUUCUCUUUUUGUUGAAUACAUGACUACAUGUCUAUAACUUUCAUAAACAUUUCUUAAAUUAAUAGGAUAAGUGAUAGAUAUCUGUUAACGUAUAAAAAUUACACUAAAUAAUCCUACACUUCCAACGGACCUAUCUUCUGUGUAAUAGGAUUGAGUGAUUUGUGAGCUAACGUUGAAGAAUAUGUUUUGUCACCUUAACACACACAAACCCGAGCUUUUCAC